This 253-nucleotide ribosomal RNA is filed under the name uncultured bacterium. RNAcentral's name for it is "partial 16S ribosomal RNA". It matches the Rfam family "Bacterial small subunit ribosomal RNA", at positions 524 to 776 of the family's 1533-position model. The record is from RNAcentral.
UACGUAGGUGACAAGCGUUGUCCGGAUUUACUGGGCGUAAAGAGCGCGCAGGCGGUCGAUCAAGUCGAGUGUGAAAGCCCCCGGCUCAACUGGGGAGGGUCACGCGAUACUGUUCGACUCGAAGGCAGGAGAGGGAAGUGGAAUUCCCGGUGUAGUGGUGAAAUGCGUAGAUAUCGGGAGGAACACCAGUGGCGAAGGCGACUUCCUGGCCUGUUCUUGACGCUGAGGCGCGAAAGCUAGGGUAGCAAACAGG